Long non-coding RNA from Lolium rigidum, 827 nucleotides. RefSeq lists it as uncharacterized. The record is from RefSeq and is a predicted model, not a curated record. The transcript has 7 exons. NCBI's taxonomy places the organism in Eukaryota, Viridiplantae, Streptophyta, Magnoliopsida, Poales, Poaceae.
UCAGCGGCAGUCUCCUUCUCCCCGUCUCAAGCUGUCUCCAGCAUCUGCUGCCUUUUGUCUCUCGCUCGGUUUGCCCAAGUUUCUAAUUCAUAUUUAGUGCAUGAAUUUGUAGGUUGUUUUCUUUCCUCUCUCUAGGUUGGGCAUCCCAUGCCAAAAUCGAAGGUCACAGACCCCCAGUUGGUCAAGGAUGUAAGCUAGCCCAGGCGGCUGAAGAUUGUGCUCAGCCUUGCGCACGUUCUAAGACACUUGCACACCGAGAUGCAGCCUCUGUUCGCCGUCGACGUGCUGAUGUCCAGUUCGGUCUACCUCGCUGGAUAUUUCACACCAAAGGUCUACUCAUAUGUCCCAAUAAUUCAAUUUUUUGUUUCUACAAAGGUUCAAAGCAUGUCUGCACUUGCUAUGGAUUAAAAUCUUCUUUUGUCAAUGCUUGCUUUCUUAAGUCUGGAACUUCCUCCCAAUGGUGAAAUUGGAACAAAAUCCUGCAACUGCUCUUUAAUUCAGGACCUUUUCUUGCAAGGAAUAUGCUUAGCAUGUUGCUAAACUGAUGAGUUGAUGCCUUUGGUCGACAUAAAUGGAGUUCAAGUUUGUUUAAAAAGGGCUCCCCACCUAAUGUCGACCGUGGCCUGCGCUGAAGUCAAGAGACGCACAAUGCAAAUUUUGAUUUGUAUAGAGUGGAAAACUACUUUGUUCCAUGAUAUAAAACAUAUAUACGAUGAACCGUGGAAGGUGAUUUGUAUAGCCCCAGCCCAGCUUGUGACCACCCUCACCUCGCUUGUUGCCGUCCUGCAGCCUGCUCCACUUGUCACUGCCCAACGCCCCGCUUGUUG